RNAcentral lists this ribosomal RNA (348 nucleotides) under uncultured bacterium. Its description in RNAcentral is "partial 16S ribosomal RNA". It matches the Rfam family "Bacterial small subunit ribosomal RNA", at positions 338 to 682 of the family's 1533-position model. The record is from RNAcentral.
CCUACGGGUGGCUGCAGUGAGGAAUAUUGGUCAAGGGACGAGAGUCUGAACCAGCCAAGUAGCGUGAAGGAUGACUGCCCUAUGGGUUGUAAACUUCUUUUAUAUGGGAAUAAAAUGUUCCACGUGUGGGAUUUUGUAUGUACCAUAUGAAUAAGGAUCGGCUAACUCCGUGCCAGCAGCCGCGGUAAUACGGAGGAUCCGAGCGUUAUCCGGAUUUAUUGGGUUUAAAGGGUGCGUCGGCGGUGAGGUAAGUCAGCGGUGAAAUGCCCCCGCUCCACGGGGUGAAGUGCCAUUGAUACUGCCUUGCUUGACUGCGGCUGCCGUGGGCGGAAUGUGUGGUGUAGCGGU